UACGAAGGGGGGCUAGCGUUGCUCGGAAUUACUGGGCGUAAAGCGCACGUAGGCGGAUUGUUAAGUCGGGGGUGAAAUCCUGGAGCUCAACUCCAGAACUGCCUUCGAUACUGGCGAUCUCGAGUUCGGGAGAGGUGAGUGGAACUGCGAGUGUAGAGGUGAAAUUCGUAGAUAUUCGCAAGAACACCAGUGGCGAAGGCGGCUCACUGGCCCGAUACUGACGCUGAGGUGCGAAAGCGUGGGGAGCAAACAGGG
RNAcentral lists this ribosomal RNA (255 nucleotides) under uncultured bacterium. RNAcentral's name for it is "partial 16S ribosomal RNA". It matches the Rfam family "Bacterial small subunit ribosomal RNA", at positions 524 to 777 of the family's 1533-position model. The record is from RNAcentral.